RNAcentral lists this long non-coding RNA (391 nucleotides) under Nicotiana benthamiana. RNAcentral's name for it is "long non-coding RNA (NBEN_LNC002118)". Lineage: Eukaryota; Viridiplantae; Streptophyta; Magnoliopsida; Solanales; Solanaceae. The record is from RNAcentral.
CAUUCUAUUAUUGAGUUUCAGAAACUUAAAAGCAUAGUCUCAGUGGUUAAGUUUCUCUCUGUUUCUAGUGAACUAUCGUAUUUCUUUGUCUUAUUUGAUCAAAUAAUGACCUUUAGGCACCUUCCCCUUCCUAUAUUUUCCUCUUUUGUGGCAAGCAUAUCUUUUUGAGUAAGGGCUAACUUUUAUUUUCUUUCUCUUUAUUCCAUUAUAUGCCUUUAUACUGCAUAGUUAACUUUACUGUCGCUUAUUGCAGGAUGCUUCACAGUCUGAAGAGAUCAAUACUGCAGAAGUUUAGAAAGAUGUGUGAAAUGAAAGAAUGUUGAAUAUACUUCUAUUAUGGUUGUUUGUUUUGGUGUUUAUAAGCAGGAAGCUUUUCCUUGUAUAGAUCAUA